Molecule: long non-coding RNA, 1530 nt
Filed under: Eucalyptus grandis
Lineage: Eukaryota; Viridiplantae; Streptophyta; Magnoliopsida; Myrtales; Myrtaceae
Description: long non-coding RNA (EGRA_LNC002799)
Source: RNAcentral
GUACUUUGACAGUUGAGCAAGUGUCUAUAGAUCUUCAUGAGCCCCUUUUGCUGAGAGCAUUGAACAAAUAACUUUGAUGCAACAUUCUCUACAGGUGCCACCUUUAUGCCUAGACUAAUUUUAAGAGGUCACAAGUAUUGAAAUUUGCCACUGACCCACACUUCGGCAAGCGGAAAGGAAUCCCAAAAUGAUCUCAUAAUUGAACAGCUCCUAUUCAUUGCCAAUCUCUCAUCAUUGAUACAAUAUCUGCACACAGCAGAAGCAAAAUAUACAUCAAACAAAACAAACGCAUGGUAGUCUCGAGACUAAAAGAUUUCAAUCUAACUUAAAACAGGGGUACAUCAUAUGCUGAUUAUUUAUGAAAACACAUAUGUACUCAGAACUCCAUGAAGCCUUUGCUGCAUCAUCUUCAUCAAGCUGGCUGUGAAAUUGAGUUCCCCCUAUCUUCCUAGAAUGGACUUGAUCCACCAAACGCCUUUGGUGUCCUUGGGUCCUUCUUCUUCCGGUGGACUGUCGCUAUGUGGAGUCUUGUGGAACUUGCUCACGUCAUACCCUUCUUCUUCAGCCUUGAACCAGCUGAUUGUAAAUUUCUUUGUCCAUACGGCUGUCUGCUUAGUAUCUGCAAAACAAAAAAGCCCACCAAUCAGCCAAUGAAAAUACAAAAAGAAAGAAACAAGAAUCAGAGCCCAACUCAUGAACUAAGGAUGUAACUCUCUUGGAUCAUUCGGUAGUUGAAUAUUCUCCUUGAUCCUCGCUAUGUCUUGACAUGUCAACUAACAAAUCUUAAAUCAUAAGAUAAGCCCCACCUCAAUAUUUGGGCGAACAACACAAACAAGCUCCCCACAAACUUGUAAUGCUUCUGAUGUGACUUUGUAAUAUCUCUCACAAAUAGUAGAUAAAACAGGGGAGGAAAGCACCUAAAACAUCAUAAUAAAAACAGAGAAAGUAAACACCCUGCAGCUGAUUUCGUAUAAACCCAACUCAGAAGCAGGUAGCAUAAACAGUUUAUAUACACAACAAAGGUAGGAAUUAUACCGUUGAACAAAAGAUAAGAGAAAACUGUCGAACAAUUACAAACUUUCCAAUAUAGAACCUAAUUCACCAGCCCUCACAAUGUAAAGGCUCGAUGGCGCCCAAAACUCCCGCUUGAAUUGCAUCACAAAAACCAUUCAAGGGGAAAGGCUCAUCUAGCCUCUCCGCAAGGGCCAAAAGGUGAAAAAGGUCUUAACAAUCUAAUCAUGCCAAAAAGGAAGAAACACACCUCAAGAAGCACAGACCACGACUUCAGGAAACCAUCGUACAUGGAAUCACCCAUAGCAACCUAACAAGCCUUUGGCCACAGCUAUAACGGUUCGAAAAGGUCGAACGAAUAACUCAUUGCGAACCACGGAAGUAGGAGCCAUUGCCCCUCGGACGGCUGUAGUCAUUAUCCAGGUUGCUUCCCCUGCCCAAACUCUGACCACUCAGGCGUCCCCUUAGGCCCUCGGAUUGGUAUCCGCCUCUGCCUCUUCCUCGUCCUGGCAUUCAUUC